GAUGAACGCUGGCGGCGUGCCUAAUACAUGCAAGUCGAGUGAACAGACGAGGAGCUUGCUCCUCUGACGUUAGCGGCGGACGGGUGAGUAACACGUGGAUAACCUACCUAUAAGACUGGGAUAACUUCGGGAAACCGGAGCUAAUACCGGAUAAUAUAUUGAACCGCAUGGUUCAAUAGUGAAAGACGGUUUUGCUGUCACUUAUAGAUGGAUCCGCGCCGCAUUAGCUAGUUGGUAAGGUAACGGCUUACCAAGGCAACGAUGCGUAGCCGACCUGAGAGGGUGAUUGGCCACACUGGAACUGAGACACGGUCCAGACUCCUACGGGAGGCAGCAGUAGGGAAUCUUCCGCAAUGGGCGAAAGCCUGACGGAGCAACGCCGCGUGAGUGAUGAAGGUCUUCGGAUCGUAAAACUCUGUUAUUAGGGAAGAACAAAUGUGUAAGUAACUAUGCACGUCUUGACGGUACCUAAUCAGAAAGCCACGGCUAACUACGUG
RNAcentral lists this ribosomal RNA (497 nucleotides) under uncultured bacterium. RNAcentral's name for it is "partial 16S ribosomal RNA". It matches the Rfam family "Bacterial small subunit ribosomal RNA", at positions 28 to 507 of the family's 1533-position model. The record is from RNAcentral.